GUGACGAAGCGACGCCGCGUGCGGGAAGAAGGCCUUCGGGUUGUAAACCGCUGUCGGGAGUUAGGAAAUGCAAGGAUGUUAAUAGCAUUCUUGCUUGACUAAGGCUCCGGAGGAAGCCACGGCUAACUCUGUGCCAGCAGCCGCGGUAAUACAGAGGCGGCAAGCGUUGUUCGGAAUUAUUGGGCGUAAAGAGCACGUAGGCGGCUGUGUAAGUCGGUUGUGAAAGCCUUCCGCUUAACGGAAGAACGGCAUCCGAUACUGCAUAGCUUGAGUGCGGGAGGGGAGAGUGGAACUUCUGGUGGAGCGGUGAAAUGCGUAGAUAUCAGAAGGAACACCGGCGGCGAAGGCGACUCUCUGGUCCGUAACUGACGCUGAGUGUGCGAAAGCUAGGGGAGCAAACGGGAUUAGAUACCCCGGUAGUCCUAGCCGUAAACGAU
RNAcentral lists this ribosomal RNA (437 nucleotides) under uncultured Candidatus Brocadia sp. RNAcentral's name for it is "bacterial SSU rRNA". It matches the Rfam family "Bacterial small subunit ribosomal RNA", at positions 383 to 810 of the family's 1533-position model. The record is from RNAcentral. Lineage: Bacteria; Pseudomonadati; Planctomycetota; Candidatus Brocadiia; Candidatus Brocadiales; Candidatus Brocadiaceae.